RNAcentral lists this long non-coding RNA (7418 nucleotides) under Triticum aestivum (bread wheat). RNAcentral's name for it is "long non-coding RNA (TAES_LNC008611)". Lineage: Eukaryota; Viridiplantae; Streptophyta; Magnoliopsida; Poales; Poaceae. The record is from RNAcentral.
AAAGUUUAUGAAAAAUACUUUCUGUUAAAAUUAGUUGUUUUAUAUUUUCUUUUCUGUUUAUUUAUUAUGUUAGUAUUUUCUUUGUUGUUAAAUUUUACUUAGGACAAAGCUAUUUUGGGUUAUGUCUUAGAAUUUUCUUUAGUAGUUUUCUUGUGUAGUUUUCAUUGGUUUUUUUUUAUUUUGUGUUCUUUGUGAUUUGCAUUUUAUUUGUUGAUUUUUUUGUGAGUGUUAGAAAUUGCUUGCUAGUAUGUUUGCUUAUGUGAAUACUAUGUUUUACUAUAUAGAUUUUCAUCGGAGAGUUGCGUAUAGUGCUAUCAAGUUUUGCGAGAGUGAUAUUAUCUUCAUCAAGUAAUACCAGGCAAGUUCACUUUGACCAUGUUUUUCAUACCUAUGUUUUAUUGCAUUUAGUGUCAUCUUUGCAACAAUCCCUCCAGUAGUGAUAUUGAAUUCUUGUAGUUGAGUAGUAUGCAUGAGGUAGGAACCCAUCACCCUGUUACCAAGCCCGGGACGUUAUUUAUUUUAAUGCUACGCUAUAGUAGACGGGGUUUGGUAUGAGUGCACGAGAGUGGUGUGAAGAAGGAGGACUCUACGUCAAUGACGACAACUCCAUGAUGGCAUAUGCGAGGACUGCAUCUUCAAGGCCUCAAGACUUCAAGACUCGAGACAAGAAUUCAAUACACACUACUGGGUGAAGGACGGUUGACGGGCACCCUGGAGAAACCAGUGGAUGGCCGGGAUGCAUGGAGAAGCGCCAUGACAUCUUGCGGAAAGCUUCACCCAGACUCAAAGAGACGGAAGAAUACUUCAUGCCCGGAAGCUUACCUGUGCAAACGCAAGUCACUAUGGGCUCUGGCUUGGUUGACCUUAAUGGUGACUCUGGCUGGGACGGUGCCAGCAGAUGUAGAACUACGGUAGGGUUGGAUGAGCACCGGACAGUGGUCAGGGGAACUCUUCGGAAGACCAUGUUUCGAUCAUCCUGUUCUCAAACAUCAUGAAGUACGAGGACGAAAAGGGAGGGAUCAAAUCUUGCGGGUAAAGUGUACAAACCUCUGCAGAGGGUUAAAACCUAAUCGAUUAGCUGUGUCCCCGGUUAUGGACAAUUUGAGCCUCUGGACUUGGAUCUAUCUCGGAACUCUCAACACCGGACUGAUAACAUAAUUGUGGGCAAGUUAUGAUGAUUUUGGGCUCUCAGACAUCGGUUGGCGGAACCAUGUCCUGAUUGAAAACUCCGUAGUACAGACUCCUGAUGUUCCUUUGUUAUAGGAAAAUAAAAUUAGCUUUUACGCAAACAAAACUCAGAUACAGAGCCACAAAGCCAUAUUGCAUAUAGUAUAGUUUAUCAUCUGUUUUUCUUACAGCGAUCUUGCUGGUACAUUCAAUGUACUGACCUACACGGCUGCAACGUCUCAUGUUGCACAUAUGUUCCUUCCGACGAGUAAGAGUACGGUACAGGGUUACGGUAUACACUCAACCUGCCGAUUGCGUUGAUGGGACUCCACAUCCGAUUGUUUAUUUCCGCUGAGACUUAUGAGGUAUAUACCAGUUUUACGUUAUUUAUACAUGUGAUUGCACUUUGAUAUAUACAUUGAUGUACUGUGUGUGCCAGCAUACCGAUCCAGGGAUGGCGCAGAUACACAGAGGCUUGACCGUCUGAGGUUGGGUCGCUACAAAUAUGGUAUCAGAGCACAUGUUGACUGUAGGACGUGACCCUAGAAAUCGGAAAACCCUAGGACAGGAAAUCUCUAAGACUUUAUUUUUAAAAGGACCCAUUUCUUCUCAUCUUUUCUAAUUUUUAUCAAAUAACACCUCUUACCUCAAAUAGUUAGAAUAUACCCCUUUCCCUUUUGACCACCCGGAGGAUCAACUGAAGCCGCUUCAAGAAGGAUAAGAACACUGGACAAAUGAUGACCAAUUCAGAGUAAAGAGGAUUACACUAUAUAUUUCGGAGGAAAGAAGCUACAGCAGAUGAAGACUGUAAAGGCUUGAAGAAUUCAGAGACUCUGAAGAUUGAUUUGAACUUUAGAAGACCAAACCCCUGUUAUAUAUACUUACGUUAGAUACGACGAUUUGUGAGCUGUCAUUUGUAUGAUGUUUUUCCGACAGCUGCAAAUACAACCUAUUUUCAAAACUAUUUUUUGCAUCAUGUGUAUAUCUCUCUAUCUUCUCUCUUAUCUCACCCUAAAACCCUUGGACUCAAUAGAUGAUGAAUGAAGAAGGACUGGUAUUCUCUGGACCGAUGACUCAGCCGAAUGCAGAGCUAUGGAUUAAAAACAUGGAGGAUCACUUCGGGGAAAAAAUGAUUUCAAGGAAGUAUGAGGUUCAAGAUGCUAUUCAGUAUUUUACCGAGAGUGCUGCAACCUGGUGGAAAAUGCAUCAAGCCAUACAAGGAUGCAACGGAGCAAAAACUUGGGAGGAAUUCAAGAAGACUCUGUUGAGAUCUCGUCUUAUUCGUAAGAACUAUGAUAACCCGAAGAAGAAACCUUGUGCUUGCAAGAUUUGCGGAGAAGUAGGACACACCCAGGAGGAACACAAGGAUGGAUGUCCUCAUUGUGAGGAGAAUCACCCAACCGAAGAGUGCCCGACUGGGCAAGUUACUUGUUUCCUGUGUGAAGGAACUACACACUACCCUGGUCAGUGUCAUAUUUACCCCAAGGUACAAAAAAUUACCAAGCAGCAGAAAGAAGCCAUGAAAGAAACCCUCAGGGAAAAUUCAGAAGAACCUGCGAUGAAGGAAGUUAUUGAAGACCCUAAUGGUGAAGGCCUAAACAGAUUUUUCGCCCAAGCUUGCUGUUCAUGUGGAGAAGAAGGACAUUUUUCAGAGUAUUGCACGAAGGAAAGCCAAGAGUAUCUCAGAGACUUCCCGACAACAAAAGUGAAGUUUGACCCUCAGGAAAUAGAAGCUGUGAUCAUUACAGAGAAAUCCAGGAAGAGAAAACGAAGGCAACCCCAGAACAACCCAAUUUCUGCAGGAAAGGACCUGAGUCAGAUCACUUGUUACAAGUGCAAGACCUCAGGUCACUAUGCCAAUAAAUGUCCAUAGAAGAAGCCAAAAUCCAAGGAGCCUACAUAAUCACAAAGAAGCCCCGAGAUAUUUGUUUUCGCUGCAAGGAAGCAGGACAUUUUUCUAGGGAAUGUUCAAAUCAGAAGAAAGCUGGAGCUGAGUAGUUGAGAUUUUGAUAUGGAUAAUAAGAGUGGUAGAAAGCAAUCUUAUUUUCAUAAGUUCGAUGAGUUGAGUUAUGUAACGGGUGCUCAGAGAUUGUAAUGAAUUCAUGAAAUCAAUAAAGUUAAUGUGUUAUGAUUUCUUAUGUUGUAUUAUGUGAGUUUUUACCCUAUGAACAAAGAUUUUGGACCAGUUUCGAGGAUAUGAGAAAUAUGGUCUAUGGAUGGAUUUGUGAAUUUCAUUUAAGGGUGGUAGUACCCUGUGAAGAACAGUUGACCCAUGGAAAGGAUAAUGAUAUUUCAGGGAGUGAAGUUUGGACAAAAUAGGUAUGAGUUUUGUUUUGAUAUGUUGGUUACCCCAAGAAUAUGAAGGAAUGAAGCAAUAUUGGAAUUUAAGGAGGUGUAAUGUUGGAAUAUGGAACAAUUGUAACUCCAAGGAUGAGUUGUACAAGUGUUGAAGUGGGCCAUAACCCACAGGCCCAGGGUUUGAAAAGGAACAGACAUAACUUUGAUGAAGGAAGAAAAUUGAAAGAAGCUAUGAUUCCAUCAGCAGACAUUUCCUUAGGAGGUUACGAAAACCCAAGAGUUGUGAAGAACGGUAGAUGUUUUGUUCAGGUUGCAGAAAUAAUGGAAUUAUCCGAACUAAGUUCGUCGACAAGAGAAAUUCUGCAAUGCUUGUGAGGAUGCCCAAGUGUUAGACUACAUGAUUCACCGUCUGCGUAUGUAGUAAUGGUUCAAGUAUGGGAUGGAUUGGCCCUCAUACCGGAGACUUCUAUCAUGAACUAUCAUAUGUUGAUGGAAAAUCAGAGAGACUUGAAAACCUUAGAAGAGUGUCGGCGCGAUAAGCCAUAAAAUCAUAGAAUGGUAGGACGAUGGAACCCUUUACAGGCAAUCGUUGCCAAUCGUAGGAUAUACGGUGAGAUUCAACCCCGGCCAUUUUCCUGCAGGAGAAGCCAUAAAUUGUUGACUGCCAGGAGGUUCCGAUAGUUUCUUAGUAUUGACGACAGACAUGUCAGAUAUAAAGAUCCACUCUUCAGAAGAACCUCAUCAGGAUUGAGAGGACACGAGAUUUUGAGAAAAGUCAUGCCCCGACCGGAAGAGCACCACUGAAAGAGUUAUCCCUAAGAAUAUGAGAAGACCGACACCAUCAACCCAAAGGAUGGAGUACAUGAAUUUUGUCAGAACCAUAGCCUUGCUUUUAAGUGUGGUAGCACCCAAGACCUCUCUGGUCGAAGGAUUUGCUGGAAGACCUCCAAACCCUAACCUUUUCUUGCUAGCCGCUUCGAAUCUCGAGGACGAGAUUCAUUUUAAGUGUGGUAGGUUUGUAACAUCCCAAAAUUCUAAAUUUUGGAAUGUUAUAUUAAAUAAAUAGUUUUGAUUGUUUGUUUGAUUUUUGUGUGAAUGAUUGAGUGAAGUUGAGUGCAAUUUGAAACUUUUUGAAAGCUGAAUGAGAGGGAAUGAAAGGACUUCCCCAAAAGUGUUUCCAUUUGAAAUGUUUUGAAACCUCAUUUGAAAGUAAUGCAAACUUGAUGCCACUCAAGGACUUUCAAGAGAGGAGAUGAAAUGACUUCUCCAAAGUUUAAUGAAAGAGAGUGGGGUGUUAAACCACUUUUGGAAUUCCAUUUGGAAUCCUUCCCAUUUGAAUAGUUUCAAAUUCCUCUGACCCAUUUCAAAAAUAAAGAGAGGAGCAACAUGACACUCCAAACCAGGGGCAAAUUUGAAAUAUAUUUGAAUGAGGAAAACGGAAAAGAUUUGGAAGUGGUUUGAAUUUCAACUUCAAAACCAUUUAGGAGUUAUUUGGCUUCAAAUCAAAUUAUUUUUCUCCCAAAAAUAAAUAAAUGGAAAUAAGGGUAAAAUGAUUCCCUUCAAUGGAAAAUUAGGAGAAAUGUUUUUUUUGAAAUCAUAAAUGUAUUUUAUUGGGUUUUAUUGCAACAGCAGCACUGUUUGACUUUUAUUGAUUUUUCUGUAUUUUAUUUGUCUCUUAGAAAUAGUUCAUAUUUUAGGAAUUCUUUUUCUAAACAUUUUUAUAUAUAAUAUGUCUAUGUAAAAGUCUUAUUGUUUUUCUUUUAGUUAUUUUGUUCUUGUGUGUGUUACUUAAAAAAAAGGCCAAAGCCAGCAGUGCCCAGCCCGAGGCCCAUCUCUCUCUCCCUCCGCCGCGGCCCACAGCGGUCCAGCCCGCGCACGCGCCCGAAACCCCUCCCCACCAGGCGCCCGCACCUCCCCCUCGUUCUCGCACUCGCUGACAACGGGGCCCGCGUCGUCUUCUUCCUCCGCAAGCCCCGCCCGAGCCAGAUCGCACCGGCCGCGCCGCCGAAUCCCGUGAUCCUCUCCCCGANNNNNNNNNNNNNNNNNNNNNNNNNNNNNNNNNNNNNNNNNNNNNNNNNNNNNNNNNNNNNNNNNNNNNNNNNNNNNNNNNNNNNNNNNNNNNNNNNNNNNNNNNNNNNNNNNNNNNNNNNNNNNNNNNNNNNNNNNNNNNNNNNNNNNNNNNNNNNNNNNNNNNNNNNNNNNNNNNNNNNNNNNNNNNNNNNNNNNNNNNNNNNNNNNNNNNNNNNNNNNNNNNNNNNNNNNNNNNNCCCCCUAUAUAUACUCUCCCCCUCGACCCGUUCCACUCCUUUCCCUGCACCAAGGACCACCGCUGCCUCCCCGAUUCCUCGCCGGAUCCGAGCGCCACCGCCACACCAUUGUUGCCUUACCUCACCACCCCGACCACCUAGCCGCCACUUGAGAUCACCACCGUAACCCCCUCGCUCGUCCGCACCUUCCCGUGCGCUCGCACGAGCCCAAAACCCACCGGAGCGCCGCCACCGCCGACGCCCGAACGCCACCGCCACCUCGACCUCGACGCCGACCUCCUCCGUCAACCUACGACGCCGCCUCGACCACCGCUGGACUCGCCGUCGAACGCCUCGUCCGCUCGUGCCCUCGCCGGAGCUCUCCGACGACCGGAGCGCCGUCGAUGACGACGUCCGAGCCGCAUCGCCGACGACCAUCACCGCUGUAAGCUCCGACGACCCUCCCCGCCUUUAGAUCUUCAUUAUACGGCCUAGAUUAGAUGCAAACACAUAGGUAGGUUUUAUGUAUUAGAUCGGUUUUUAUGCUGUUUUAUUUACGGUUUAGAUUGGUUCAGAUCGAACCGGGCCUCCUCCGGUUUUCUGCUUUAGCCGCACAGUCACGGUUUCGUUAAGUUACAACCGAGCGUUGUUUAGUUCAGAGCGCCCACUGCUUAGGCCCAAUUGCAGCCCGACGCGUAGCUCCUGCCCGUUUGUUUUUUUUCAGUUUAUUUUCGUUUCUGUUUUAGAAACAGAAAUAGUUUCAAUUUUAGAUUGCUUAUAACUUUUAUGUUUUAUAUCCAAAUUGAGUGAUUCUUUUUGCGCUGUGUCACAAAUUUGUUUAAGUUUCUGUUUUUGUACUUACGUUUCAAAUUUGAGUAGUUUAAACUUGAGUUUGAUGAAAUUUGUUCAAAUCACUAAUUUGGCCGUAUCUUGAGUUUUAUAAAAUAUUCUUGAUUGAUUCUUUUUGCUACGGUUUUGUUAUUGUGUUGUCUAUCCAGAGUCAUAUAGUGAUUUAUUUUUAGUUUAUUUUAAAUUGAGUUUUUAUCAAAACAGUACUGUUUUAGUUAUAGUUUUGUUUUUGUCUUUUUUUAUUGUUUUUAUUAGUUUUAAAUUAUUUCGUUUUGUCACUCUUGAAAAUUUUAGUUUUGUUUCUGCUAGUCAAGAAAAGAAAAUUUUGUUUUUAUUUUAAAAAUUUAUUUUACUUAGUUUUGUAUGAAAACUUGUUUAGGUCAUAGUUAGUGUUUCAUAAAAGCUUUUUAUUUGUUUCUUUUUGCUAUUAAAAGUUUAUGAAAAAUACUUUCUGUUAAAAUUAGUUGUUUUAUAUUUUCUUUUCUGUUUAUUUAUUAUGUUAGUAUUUUCUUUGUUGUUAAAUUUUACUUAGGACAAAGCUAUUUUGGGUUAUGUCUUAGAAUUUUCUUUAGUGGUUUUCUUGUGUAGUUUUCAUUGGUUUUUUUAUUUUGUGUUCUUUGUGAUUUGCAUUUUAUUUGUUGAUUUUUUUGUGAGUGUUAGAAAUUGCUUGCUAGUAUGUUUGCUUAUGUGAAUACUAUGUUUUACUAUAUAGAUUUUCAUCGGAGAGUUGCGUAUAGUGCUAUCAUGUUUUGCGAGAGUGAUAUUAUCUUCAUCAAGUAAUACCAGGCAAGUUCACUUUGACCAUGUUUUUCAUACCUAUGUUUUAUUGCAUUUAGUGUCAUCUUUGCAACAAUCCCU